UAUGAAUUAUGAUUCUAUCUAUCUGGAUAUAAGGAAUGCACUGUUUAAUUAAAAUUGAUUUGAUAAGAAUAAUGCAUAAUAAUCAGACGAAUAAGAAUUGAUUUGGACUAAUCUUCGUUAGCCUCUACGGGCUUAUACAUGGGACAGCCUCCACGAACUUAUAUGUGGGAUAGCCUCAUCGGGCUUAUGCACGGGACAGCCUCCAUAUGCUUAUACGUAUGAUAGUCUCCACAGGCUUACGCGUGGAAACUUUGUUUAUCAAUCAUGGACCAGGAUAUGAUCAUGGUUAGUCCAAAGCCGAAAAGUAAUUAUUUUCGAAACUGAAAUUAAAAUAAUAAGAAACGGAUGAUAAGAAACAUGAAACCAAUGUUGAAUAAAAGAUUUUUAUUUGUUGAUAUAUUGUGAUAUAUCUAUUUUGAUAGGCUGGAUAUUUGAUGUAUAUUUAUUUGGAUAUUUGUCGGUUUAAUUUAGUUAUACUUGAUGUUUGAAAAAUGAUUUCAUAAUUUAUGUUUUUAUUUUGUUAUCGCUUAUUGUUAUUUUCAAAUUAUAUUAUUAUAAUGAUGUAAACAUGUGGAGAUUCUUACUGGGCUAUAAAGCUCACACUAUCUUUCCUCUUUUUCUUUCAAAGUUGCAAGAUGCCUACUCAUGGAUAGGUCGGGCAUGGAGCUUGAGCGAUGGAGUCUUUAGUUAGUUAGUUUAUUCUCUGAUGCCAAACGAAUAGUUGAUUAUCUUAUAAAUGAAUCAGUUUGAUUAUUCGAAUAUGGUGGAUUUAUUAGUUGGAUUUUGUGGCUAUUAAUUGUUGAGUUAUUAGAUAUUUAUUUGGCCUAGGCUUUUCAUGAUCUCUAGGGCAUUACUCUAGGGUUCAUGCAGCAAUAUCACGUGGUCGACCCAGGUAACGGGUUUGGGGCGUGACACCUAGUAAGCUAAAUAACCGUAACAUUGUCCCACUAUGUCCUUAAAAAGGCCAUGUUAAGCUAGAAAUUAAUGGAGGUAUUAGCUUGUAGCAGCAACUAGUUGCCUGAGAAGUAUAUCAGCGCCAAGUAACAAUCUUCAUUCAUGCCUCACAAUUUGAUGCAAUUGUCUACCAUGAGGUCUCUGAUAUACCUCUUGGUUCUAAUUUUCUUUGUCUUUUCCUACAGUGAAGGCCUAUUAAGCUACAUGAAGAGAACAUUCACAAGGCAUACUCAGCUUGAGUUGAAAAGUAUUAGCCUGUGCCUGCAACUGGGUUUGGCUGAAAAGAUACUAGGGACAAUGUAUAGUUAGUUAUUCCUUGCAAUUUGUUAUAAAGUUUAUUGUGCAUCCGGGCCUCGUUCCUCUUCUAGACUUCUAUCUAGUCCUGCAAUGGAGGUUUCCUAAAUUAAAUAGCUGGAACAUUUCAGGCCUGUUUGGGUAUCAGAAUCUCAUAAUCCGAGAAUGCUAUCUUUCCCCAGGCAAAACAGAAAAAAAGGUUAUCCGCUAGGUAGGAAAGGCUCCAAGAGAAAUAAAAAAUUACUAUAGUUUAAGAAGGUUAUCAGCAGGAUCAAAGGCGAUGAGAUUUCAGCCAAUAUUUCUCCAUCCUAUUUCUCAAGAAGGUUUAUGUUCAAUGCUGAUCGAAGGCUUGAACAAUCUCCAUCAAUUUGAAUCAAACUCAGUUUCUAGAUGAAACCUUCUAACAAUUUCAAAUCCCAAAGUAAUCCAUAUUAACCAGUCCCUGUCUAAACUUUACAAAUAUUUCUUAUACAUCCAUCAUAUGGUUUGAUCUUUGCCCACACAUCCUUACCUGACCCAACAUAACGUGGUCUAGCCAGAUGGUGUUUGGUUGAAAAGGUAGCAUUUGGAUUAGUUUUGAGUUCCUCUUGAGCUUUAUGGUUGGAAAGAUUACUAAAGAUUUGUUUAGAUAUUCCUACAGGAUCGGACCGUAAAUGCUAUACAAAUCGAGCUUAUUGGCCCAUCCGUUUUGUAUUUUCCAACAGCAUGUCCAAAUCCAACCUAGAUCCUAGCCUUUG
This 1985-nucleotide long non-coding RNA is filed under the name Phoenix dactylifera (date palm). RNAcentral describes it as "long non-coding RNA (PDAC_LNC002956)". The record is from RNAcentral. Lineage: Eukaryota; Viridiplantae; Streptophyta; Magnoliopsida; Arecales; Arecaceae.